GUUGACAUGGAUGAUGAAGACGGCCGGUGCCUGCUCGACGUGAUCUGCGACCCCCAGGCCCUGAACGACUUUUUACAUGGAUCCGAAAAGAUUGACGGUGAUGAUCUCCUGGACAGCACAGGAGAUGCAGCCAGCGCCUUCUUUGAAGGUGCUGGGGUACGUACUUUUUCCUUCCAUCACC
RNAcentral lists this long non-coding RNA (181 nucleotides) under Columba livia (rock pigeon). Its description in RNAcentral is "partial uncharacterized LOC102089971". The record is from RNAcentral. Lineage: Eukaryota; Metazoa; Chordata; Aves; Columbiformes; Columbidae.